This 680-nucleotide unclassified non-coding RNA is filed under the name Hevea brasiliensis (rubber tree). Lineage: Eukaryota; Viridiplantae; Streptophyta; Magnoliopsida; Malpighiales; Euphorbiaceae. The record is from RNAcentral.
AUGACUAAUCCCAGCUGCCAAGUAAGUAAAUGGGAAAGAAAGGAGUUUAGUUUAUUUACAGCAUUAUGGACUGCUUAAAUGACAUGCCACGUAAAGAAAACAGAAAUGAAAACCAUUGCAUUAAGGAUACCAAGGCACAGAAGGAGAAAAAUUAAACCUAGAAGGCCUGAGACCUAACUUCAAUUGAGACACAAAACAUCUCCUCAUUUAGAUGGCACACUUAUGUGUAAUGAUGAACAAGGUGAAUAGUUAUAAUGUCUUCAAGCUGACAUGCGAAUGUAAGAAAGUAUUGAAUUCUAAAGUUUUACAUGCCUAUCUUAAAACAAACAGAAGCGAUUACAUGUCUGUUGUUAGAAGUCAGCAAACCAUGUGAUCAAGGACAAGAAAUUAGCCAUCUAAGAAAAAACCAAUAAUAAAAAUUUAUAUGCUUUCUGUUGGUAGUUCUGGCCAGACCUCUGGUGAGCAGCAUGAGAUCAAUGGGUUCUCCAUGCUGUUAUGAAUAUGCAGCAAAUCAGAUAUUUUCAGCAAGUCUGUAAAAGGUUUCCAAAUGGGAAAAAGAAGUCGUAAAACUGAUUGCAUAAAAUUGAUUUCUUCCCUUAGUUAUUCAGAUUUUUGUCUUUUCCUUAUUUAGUUUUCCUUAUUUACUUUUCUUAAUUCAAGUAGUAUUUAGGUUUCCUAAU